This 242-nucleotide ribosomal RNA is filed under the name uncultured bacterium. Its description in RNAcentral is "partial 16S ribosomal RNA". It matches the Rfam family "Bacterial small subunit ribosomal RNA", at positions 118 to 348 of the family's 1533-position model. The record is from RNAcentral.
UGGGUAACCUGCCUCAAAGAGGGGAAUAGCCUCCCGAAAGGGAGAUUAAUACCGCAUAAUAUGUUUUAAUCGCAUGAUUUUAACAUCAAAGGAUUUUCUUAGGAAAUUCCACUUUGAGAUGGACCCGCGGCGCAUUAGCUAGUUGGUGAGGUAACGGCUCACCAAGGCAACGAUGCGUGGCCGACCUGAGAGGGUGAUCGGCCACAUUGGAACUGAGACACGGUCCAGACUCCGUAGGGAGG